Molecule: long non-coding RNA, 478 nt
Filed under: Homo sapiens (human)
Lineage: Eukaryota; Metazoa; Chordata; Mammalia; Primates; Hominidae
Description: long intergenic non-protein coding RNA 665
Source: RNAcentral
CCUCCAGGUGCAAAGUGGGAAGUAUUAAAGGUACGACAUUUGGAGGCCCCAGCGAGAAACGUCACCGGGAGAAACGUCACCGGGCGAGAGCCGGGCCCGCUGUGUGCUCCCCCGGAAGGACAGCCAGCUUGUAGGGGGGAGUGCCACCUGAAAAAAAAAUUUCCAGGUCCCCAAAGGGUGACCGUCUUCCGGAGGACAGCGGAUCGACUACCAUGUGGGUGCCCACAAAAAUUCCACCUCUGAGUCCUCAACUGCUGACCCCGGGGUCAGGUCCAGAUUUUGAACAAAUCUCGCUAGAGAUUGAACAGAGCUGCGCCUGGAUCCCGCCACAGUGAGGAGACCUGAAGACCAGAGAAAACACAGCAAAUUCACAGGCUGCUCCCUAGAAUACUGAAGAAGAAACUCUAGGAGUGAGACCCAACAAUCUGUAUUUAACAAGUCCCCAGGCCCCUGGAUCCUCCUGGAAUCCCCGAUCCCU